Molecule: non-coding RNA, 69 nt
Organism: Cordylochernes scorpioides
Lineage: Eukaryota; Metazoa; Arthropoda; Arachnida; Pseudoscorpiones; Chernetidae
Source: the annotation of a GenBank genome assembly
CUCCACGGCGGGGAAUUGAAUCCCGGUCGCCCGUGUGACAGAGAAUACUGACCACUAUACUACCGAGGA